This 415-nucleotide ribosomal RNA is filed under the name uncultured bacterium. RNAcentral's name for it is "bacterial SSU rRNA". It matches the Rfam family "Bacterial small subunit ribosomal RNA", at positions 355 to 787 of the family's 1533-position model. The record is from RNAcentral.
UCGGGAAUAUUGCGCAAUGGAGGAAACUCUGACGCAGUGACGCCGCGUGCAGGAAGAAGGUUUUCGGAUUGUAAACUGCUUUAGACAGGGAAGAUAACGACAGUACCUGUAGAAUAAGCUCCGGCUAACUACGUGCCAGCAGCCGCGGUAAUACGUAGGGAGCAAGCGUUAUCCGGAUUUAUUGGGUGUAAAGGGUGCGUAGACGGGAAGGCAAGUUAGUUGUGAAAUCCCUCGGCUUAACUGAGGAACUGCAACUAAAACUAUCUUUCUUGAGUGUUGGAGAGGAAAGUGGAAUUCCUAGUGUAGCGGUGAAAUGCGUAGAUAUUAGGAGGAACACCAGUGGCGAAGGCGACUUUCUGGACAAUAACUGACGUUGAGGCACGAAAGUGUGGGGAGCAAACAGGAUUAGAUACCC